RNAcentral lists this long non-coding RNA (381 nucleotides) under Oryzias sinensis (Chinese medaka). RNAcentral describes it as "lncRNA (ENSOSIG00000023638.1)". The record is from RNAcentral. Lineage: Eukaryota; Metazoa; Chordata; Actinopteri; Beloniformes; Adrianichthyidae.
GUGAGGGAGCUCUUUCUUGUUCCUUAGCGUGGAAAAGAUGUUGUUAUGUUAAAUGCUUUGUAAACUCCUCUUCCUAUGUUGCAGUGCAAUGUCAGCCAGAGGUCACGGCUCCGUCCUUCAUGGCGACAGUUUCAGAGGCUCCGUUGAAGCUUUCAUCGAUGAGGAAGUGAAGAUUGCAGUCACUGCUGCUUUGGAGAGGUUUUACUGCAGUGAAGAAAAAGAGGUGGAAUUUCCUCCCUCCUUGUCUCCUGCUGAGAGAUCUUAUGUUCAGCAGUUGGCCCAGAAUUUGGGAUUCAUUUCUAGGAACACUGGGUAAGUUCUCUUUUAGGACAAGAUGCUUCUUAAAACUCAUCAAAAAUUAUUUUCUUAUUUCAAGGAGCU